CUGGAAAGGGCCCCUCGGAUCAAAUUGGAUGUAUGACUCCAACUCCUUUCCAUGUACAUCACUGGAACCAGGGCUGCCGACAUCCAGGAAGGGCUCCAGAGUGCAGAAUGACUGAGCCCAGAAAUUGAUUAUUAGCUUAUCCUUAAGUCCCAGUCCAAGAAGAAACUAUGCUGGAUGCUUGACUACCUACCCAAAAGCAGAGGAUGGGAACCCAAGAACAGACAUGCAGAGAAUCAGCUCCACACAUAGCUCCUGCUGCCGGCAGCAAUGCAUAACAGAGGGAGCUGCAGACUGGUUCCACACACCAUCCACCCCACCUCUUACCCGUGGCGAGUUCCCUCUGGAGUGGCCCCAGUGUCCUGGCAAGCCCUGGGCAGCAACAUCAAAGCCUCGGCUGGUCACAGCUCUCCGCGUCAGAGGCCAUGGUGGCUCUGUGCAGCAAUCCCACAGGCCCAGGCUCCCUGGAGCUCCCCCAACCCUGGGUGCAGGGAGAGCUGGAGCAGGGACAGCAUCCUCCUGCCAUUACAGAACUGCUGAGAAGGCACCCCUUCCUCUGCGAGCCCUGCCCUUCCACUUGACCUUCUCAGCCCAGCUUGAAUGUGGAUGGACAUCCUCGUCACCAUGGCAGUGCCACCAGAUCUGACCCAAAUACUUCGGGCUUGCUCCAAUCUGUCUUUUAAGAAACAGGCACAAUAUAAUUUUACUCUUGUGUCAAAAUGGUAGAGCUGGGCUGGGGAUUUAGCUCAGUGGGUCUGCCGCCUGCCACACAAGCGCAAGGACCCAAGUUGGAUUCCAGUACCAAAAAAAAAAAAAAAAAAAAAAAAAAAAAAGAUAGAACUCAGUUAAAAAAAUCAUACCGAGUCUGUGAAAAACAAACCCUAAAAUUAUUUAUGAAACUUCUGCCUUCAGCUUGCAAGUUUACAAUACAAAUGUGGACUGAGCUCCCCUUUUUUUUAGGGAAUACCACUUGGCACAGGUGGUAAGAUGUGAUUCUGCCCUCAAAGAGCUCAUGCAUCGCUAUUGCUUUUGUAAGAAGAAGGAAGUGCCCAAUCAACAUGCCCACAAGGUGCCAUUGUGUCAGAGAAUGAGAAGAGCGUGGCACCCGUUAGUCCAGGGUAACCUCACCAAGCGCCAAGCCUGGUGCUCAGCCUUAGGGUGCGCUGGGAAGGAGAGGGCAUGCGGGCUGAUGAGGACAGCAGAGGCAGAAGGGCGGCCUGUAUGGGGAAAGUCUGGAAGGCAAGCUGGAGUCGGCUGGUGCCUCUGAACUUGACACUGACAGCUGAUUCUACUCUGCUGCUGAGCUGGGGGUGCAAUUCAGAGAGGAGAACUCCUGGAAGGGCAAGCAGUGGCAGGGAGGUGCCUGAGAAGAAAAGGACUGGAAAGCUUCCAGGGGUCAGGAAGGAAAAGUACAGGGACACAGUCAUUUGCCAGGUUCGCGCAGAACAUCAGAAGUGGAAGCAAAGCCAAGUGUUUCUGCCCUCUCAGGCAUAGGGCUUCCUUCUCUGAUACUAAUUCUCCAAAGGCACUGCUGACUUCCAUUCUCGGCCUCUGUCUAGAACACAGACUCAGCUGAAGCAGAAGUGACUGCCGAGUGUGCAGAGCAAAUGCACACUAUCAUUCAGUCGCUGUAGGCACUUCUGAUGAUGCAGGCACACUGUGAGGCAUAACUUGUAUCCUUCAAUUCAUGGCCACAGUGAACUUGGGAUGCACAAUGCUGCUCACAGACCUUCUCCACACAAGAGGUGUUGGCCCCACCCCAGCAGCCCGACCCAGCUCCAAUGCUAGUGCAGAAUGAGCAGAGUCUCAGGCUACAAUCAGGUUCUCAGUCUCCCUCCCUUUCAAGUUUUUAUCAUUCUAUUCUGUUCUUUCUACUUAAAAAUGAUUGUUCGGUACUAGUAGAAGCAUAAGCUGCUUCUUCAAAGAAGCACCAACUAGCAUCUGCUCUUGUGCAAGAAGGCCUCAAGGUCUCGAGAGGGAAGUCAUUUCUGCCCUUAUCUCAAAGUAAAAAUACUGACUCCCAGGGCAGAGGAUUUAGCUCAGUGGUACCACACCUGUCUUGGGAGCGCAAGGUCCUGAGUUCAAUC
Long non-coding RNA from Fukomys damarensis (Damara mole-rat), 2084 nucleotides. The record is from Ensembl. Lineage: Eukaryota; Metazoa; Chordata; Mammalia; Rodentia; Bathyergidae.